Molecule: long non-coding RNA, 487 nt
Filed under: Vitis vinifera (wine grape)
Lineage: Eukaryota; Viridiplantae; Streptophyta; Magnoliopsida; Vitales; Vitaceae
Description: long non-coding RNA (VVIN_LNC006226)
Source: RNAcentral
CUGAUGGUUUGAACCUUGGUAAAGAAUUUAAAUAUGGCUGAAACCUUGCUAAAGAAUUUAAGUAUGACUGAAACCUUGAUCUCUUUAUCCAGAAGCCGAGGUCUCUUGUCAAUCAUUAUGAAGUACUUUCAGCCUUUGACAUCCACUUAACCUGUAGAUGUAUUACCAGUAUGAAGUAGGACCUGUAAUCAGUGUAAAAUCAUUAUGAACUUAGUGCUGGCAGAGGCAUUCUUAGAUUAAUGUCGGGACCUGUAAUCAGUGUAAAAUCAUUCUCGGUAAAUAUAAGCAGCUCUUCAUGUAGCUUUCUAUAAAAUUGCUAGAGUUGUUUUAGGCAACAAGGUGGGUACCACGUCGUAAUUUAUUCAAUGAACUAAUUAAUUUUGACCUUCUAUAUAUAGCUUAUAUGGAAGUAGAAGUGAUUUUGUUGUGAAAGAGUAAUUUUUAUUUGCCUUGCCGUUUUUCUAUUUUCUUUGUUGGUAAUUCAUGU